This 497-nucleotide ribosomal RNA is filed under the name uncultured bacterium. RNAcentral's name for it is "partial 16S ribosomal RNA". It matches the Rfam family "Bacterial small subunit ribosomal RNA", at positions 28 to 507 of the family's 1533-position model. The record is from RNAcentral.
GAUGAACGCUGGCGGCGUGCCUAAUACAUGCAAGUCGAGCGAACAGAUGAGGAGCUUGCUCCUCUGACGUUAGCGGCGGACGGGUGAGUAACACGUGGAUAACCUACCUAUAAGACUGGGAUAACUUCGGGAAACCGGAGCUAAUACCGGAUAAUAUAUUGAACCGCAUGGUUCAAUAGUGAAAGACGGUUUUGCUGUCACUUAUAGAUGGAUCCGCGCCGCAUUAGCUAGUUGGUAAGGUAACGGCUUACCAAGGCAACGAUGCGUAGCCGACCUGAGAGGGUGAUCGGCCACACUGGAACUGAGACACGGUCCAGACGCCUACGGGAGGCAGCAGUAGGGAAUCUUCCGCAAUGGGCGAAAGCCUGACGGAGCAACGCCGCGUGAGUGAUGAAGGUCUUCGGAUCGUAAAACUCUGUUAUUAGGGAAGAACAAAUGUGUAAGUAACUAUGCACGUCUUGACGGUACCUAAUCAGAAAGCCACGGCUAACUACGUG